Molecule: non-coding RNA, 2647 nt
Organism: Podarcis lilfordi (Lilford's wall lizard)
Lineage: Eukaryota; Metazoa; Chordata; Lepidosauria; Squamata; Lacertidae
Source: the annotation of a GenBank genome assembly
CCUUUCCUGCUUUGGUGUCUCUCCUGCAAGGGCUGCCUCGCUGUCCCUCCUGGGAUCUGGUGAGUCCAUAGCUGUCAACUUUCAGCCUUGAAAAUAAGGGAUCAGCAGCCUCACCUAUCUACCAAUCCGGGAUAGCAGCAGGAAGCAGCGGGAAACGGCGCUGCAAUAAGGGAAUUUCCCGCAAAAAAAGGGAAGGUUGACAGCUAAGGGUGAGUCUCCUCUCUCUCCCCCCAGAGGGUGCAGCAGGGGAGGGUGCCUGGGGGGCCUGAUCUGCUCAUGUGGGGGGGGGGACCCCAAGUCAGGGAGGAGAGGGUCCUGCCAGGGAGGGGCCAGGUCUGCCACGCUCUCCUUCCUGCAGAUCAGAGGAUCCCUGACUCCCACGAAAUCUCCCUUCUUUAAACAAAGGAGUCCCUGGGACUUUAACUCUGUGUGACGUCGCUCAGCCUCAUUGCACAACCGAGGAAACAUCUGCAAAUGGUUUUCCAAAGCUGGAGGAGGAGGUGAGCACUAGCCCCCCGGAAAAAAAACAAACCACGGGGAGGGAGGAAGGAAAAGUAGGAAAGAGAGGCCAGGAAUAAAGAGAGGGAUCCCAGGCCAUAGUCUGGCUGCUGCAUUGCAAACCAGUUUGUGUUAAGCUAUCUAAUAGAAUAAUAAUAAAUCCAAAAAUCAAGGGAGAUGUCUUUGGCCCCGCCCACUUGGCCCUCAGGGGGUUGGUCAGAUACAUUCCUGGCCCUCAGAAGAGAGAAAAAGAGAUCUCACCCCACGAAUCUGUCUGGACAGCGGCAGAGAUUGCAGAAAAGGGGACAGAAGCAGGGAGUGGAGGUGGGGUGAGGGUGGGGCUGAAGAAGAAGAAGAAGAGUUUGGAUUUGAUAUCCCGCUUUAUCACUACCCUAAGGAGUCUCAAAGCGGCUAACAUUCUCCUUUCCCUUCCUCCCCCACAACAAACACUCUGUGAGGUGAGUGGGGCUGAGAGACUUCAGAGAAGUGUGACUGGCCCAAGGUCACCCAGCAGCUGCAUGUGGAGGAGCGGAGACGUGAACCCGGUUCCCCAGAUUACGGAUCUACCGCUCUUAACCACUACACCACACUGGCUCUCAACUCCCGAGGACCCCCAGGUCAGGACCCCCACUAGAGAAAAGCAUCCAUUUAUCACAAGAUACAAAUGACUCCCUUGUCAUUCGGUUCUGGCUUCAUGCAUUGACUGGAAGGAUGGAGAAACCAGGAUGAUUAAUCUGACAGAAAUCCCUUCAGUUGCCUCCACAUUCUGCAUUGCUAGAAGGCUAGAGAUUUAUUUCUUCUCCUCUUCCUCCUCCUCUUUCUUUUCAAAAAGAUAUCUCAUGGUCUGGGAUGCGGCGCACUUCAGCCCUGGUUCCCAGCAAGACUCAUCCAUACUUGCUCAGGGAACCAUUUCCCCCCCGUCCUACAAAUUCUGUAACAGAACAAUGUAUUUGCUUUGUAGGAUUUGCUGCAGCUUCUCAUUUAGACGGACAGAACUUGGCAGAAGACCAAAGGGUUCCUUCUGAUCUCUCAGAGGCUUCCUGAGAGCACAGAUGGAUGAGCAAGACUCAGCUGGCCCUGGAACAGGAAGAGGCCAUGCCAACCAAACUGGGAGCAGUGGGGGGUUUUGGGAAAACUCGGUGCAGAAGAUCCAUGGUGAGGUGGACACCCUCCGCUCAGAGGUGCAGAGCCAGCAGUUGAGGCAGUUCUGCUGCCAGGAGGCCAAAGGACCCCGAGAGGUUUGCAGCCGACUCUACCACCUUUGACCAUCAGUGGCUGAAGCCAGAAAGGCACACGAAAGCUGAGAUGCUGGACCUGGUGAUCUUGGAGCAGUUCCUGGCUGUCCUCCCCCGGAGAUGGAGAGCUGGGUGAGGGACUGUGGAGCGGAGACCAGUUCGCAGGCGGUGGCCCUGGCCGAAGGUUUCCUCCUGAGUCAGGCACAGGAGAGGAAGCAGGAACAGAGUAAACAGGUGAGAGAGACUUUCCUCUGGAUACUCCCAAGGGGUUCCAAACAGGACAGAAAACAUCCCAUAAUGGUCUGCUGAUGGCCCAUCUUUUUCUGGGAAAGAAUCGAUGGAAUGAGAUCUCGCACCCUUCAAGUCUUUGUCAUUCUCUUUCUAGUAUUUCUUCCCAUUCUCUGUUUUGAAUCCUUGUUUCUUUCUCAGGGAAAGGAUCUCUUUGCAGAAAUGGACCUGGAUUCCUGUGAGGCAGAGAGGCCUCCGUUGGACACCAGAGAGAGGCCACUGGGUAAGGAGGAAGGUGGUUUUUCUCCACUGGUCUCAUUCUCUUGGUUUUCCAACUCAUCUGAGGAUUCCUUUCAUCUUGUUUUGGGGGGAGACAGUUGGGAACAAGGGUCCAGAGGAGGGGAGAUGUAUUUCUGCACAAACAAACAUAUGAAAUGGGCAGAAACCUCCAAAUGCACUCAGCGGGUGAGGCUUUCUCAAAGGCCCAUCUGUAGUUAGAGAUGCCCUGUUUCACCUGUGAGAGAAGCAGGCACUCCUGGCGUCCUGCUUACCUUUUUUCUCUUGCAGGUGGCAGAAGGAUGCCGGCAAGACCUCCUGAUCCGCCUUUUCAUGGGGGCAGAAGGGAAGCAGCGGCUGUGGAACCAGAUCAGGUCAGGGGAAGCUGCCUUGUGGGGACAGAGGCCGAG